UCCAUGCACACCUGCACAGUUUUUCUUUUUUCUUGAUUCUUCUUGCUUUUAGUUGAAUUUCUUCUAUUUGUAAAAUGUCCUGCGUUUUUUUCGUAAUUAGUUAGUAAAAAUAUGGAUUUUUUGGUUUCAAUUUCGCGUGAAUUAUUGCCUUUAUCGGUCGAAAGGUUUUUUGUAAUGAACAAGUAGCUGAAAUUAUUGCAUGAUUGUCGCAGUUUGAAGGUACUUAUGUAUGUGUAUGUCAAGUUAUUUUUUAAUUCGUUUUUUGAUUUAUUGUUGUUUUUUCUAAACUAUUCAUUUUUUUUUGAUUUGUCAACAGGUCUAGCAGUUGUUAAGUAUUGUAUUUGGAAAUUUUGGACUGAUGGAGUAUACCGGAUUAAAAUGCAAGCUGUCGAUAUUUUUCAAUCGGACUUCUUGAUUUCUUGACAAGUUCUACCGGUCUAGCAGUUGUUAUUGUACUUGGAAAUUUUGGACUGAUGGAGUAUAAGUAGGUACCGGAUUAGAAUGCAAGCUGUCGAUAUUUUUCAAUCGGACUUCUUGAUUUCUUGACAAGUUCUACCAGUCCAGCAGUUGUCAACGUAUUUGUACCGAUGGAUCAUUCCGGAUUAGAAUUCGAGCUGUUGAUAUUUCUCAAUCGGACGACUUCUUGAUUUCUUGACAAAUUCUACUGUUAAGAAAGCAAUUUUUCAAAAUGUUGAAUCGUGAUAAGCAUAUCUUCAGAGGAAGAAAUUGUAAUUUUUCAAUCUGUCUGUCCAGCAGGUGUCAUUGUAUUUUGGCCGAUGGAGCAUACAGAAUUAGAAUACGAGCUGUCGAUAUUUUCUUUUCAAUAGGACUUCGUAAUUUCUUGACGAGUUCUGAUGGUGCUCGUAUUAAACCAAGAGGAGUUUCCAUGUUGCUGUCAAAUCAAAAUCGUCUGAUGCUGCCUUCAUUAUCUCCAUCAUGGCUGCCUACAAAGAGAAAACAUACCUACGUACUACCUUCUGUCAACGUCUUGGUGCUGCUAUCAGAUGAACUAGAUUUGAUGCUGUUUCUGUCCUGUCUCCAGUGACUCUUUCAUCAUUACCCGCCGCCCCCCCCCCGAAAUAAGCUUUCGUCUGUAAGUCGUCCAUUGCUUAAUAAUGAAAAAUCACCCUGUCAUUUUACAUUUGGGUUGGGUUUCUUCGAAAUUUGGAUUUUCAAGUUACGAGUCGAAUGAAAUAAUUUAUCAGAGAGAGCAUGAAUGAUUUAAUAACGAGUUUAAAAUAUUGUCAAGUGAAUAUGUCAUGUUCAAUGAAAUCAAUUCAAGCCCUCCCCCCCCACAAUUUGAUUUCAAAUUCAUUUUUCUUCGUACUUAGUUUCUUUUUCCAAGCUGUAUAAAUUGCAGAUAAUUUUCCGACUGUGUUUCAAAUUUUCACGAUACAUUUCGACUGACAUUUUUGAUGAAACUUUCUGAACCCCCCCCCCCCUCCCAUCCACUUUUGUGCCCUAAUGUACCUUUGUCGUGAACAAAUUUCGACCCACAUUUCCGGUAAAAUACGAGGAUUUUCGCCGUAUCCUUCGUCUCUCAACAUCGUUCACCCUCCACCCCUCCCCACAAAAUUUUUCGCUUAAUUUGUAACUUGGGGUUUUCGAAUUCUUGAGAUUUUGCGGGUAUUUUAUUUUUUUUUUCGCGAUUUGAUUGCAAGACGCACAUAUUAUUUGCUCGCGGAAGUUUAUGGCUUUUUGAUUCAUUUUGGGCUAUCGAUAUAAUUAUGUAUUGUUAUUUACGAAAACCGAUGAUUAAUCGAAAAAUUUCUGGUGGUUGGUUGUUAGGGAAGGUGUUUCGCUUUCGCGGUUAUUUGAACUAAUUGACAUCAUGGAACGUGGUCGUGGGAUUAUUAUUUUUGGUUAGAUAGGCUGCAAGUUUGAAUUACAACCUGAUAUCGUAGAAGUUGGGGAUCAAAAGAGAAAUGUUGGCGUGUAGUGCUGGUGAUGAGUCUACGUGGGUAUUUGUGUGCAGAUGGAAGUUGCGUGGCGGCGGUGGUGAGUGUUUGUAGGGGAUACGGUUGUGGCUGGUCUUGUUACGUUUUGUCCCGUGCUCGCCUGUUAAGCAUCAACCCACAACUGUACAUUUUCCAUGGCGAUUUUUUGAAAAUUUGUCUUCUGUUAGCUUCUAGGUUAAGAAAACGCAUCCGCGGGUACGGGCUCUCGCCCAAGGAUCCGUCAGGUCGGGGGCCUGCUCGGUGGGCCGCGCUGGCAGAAAACUGUACGGAGUCCAGGGGCCGAUGAUAUUCGUUGAAUUGAGGGAAACCUGGCCUCACUCCAACGAGGGGUAGUUGUAAUAGGCUGGUACAGGAAGUAACGUUUGCGUUUCCAUCUAGCGGUUAUAGUCUGACUAUUUCUGUGACCUUAGUUCCGGUUCAUCAAAGAUGGAGCAGGGAUGGUUAAUGUUGCCCCUCAGAAUCGACAAUAUUGCCAUUCCUGCCAUCAAGGAUGACCUGCCUCGGUUGGAUCGCCGGAUCUGUCUGUGAACCAACCGCACGCACAGUAAGUGGUGCACUCUAGGUUUUGCAUACACUUGCUUGCGUGAAAUGUGAGUUGUUUUUUUUUAGAGAAAUUUCAAAGCAGGCUGACCUGGGUUUGUUGCUUAGGUCAACUUGCCAGGCAGGUGAGUGUGUGUGAAAAGGAGUAUGGUGAUCUGGACUGUGUACGAUGUCUGGUUGUGAUUGAAUUUGUGUUUUGUAAAAUUUGAAUGAACAAAUUCAAGUUUCGGAGUAUAUUUUGGUCAUGUUGAAAUGAAAAGCAUCCUUGAAAAUAACGUAAUUUUGUAAUGCGAAUGAUUUCGCGAUGAUUAGAUGCGAGUAGAGUGGAUUGAUUUCUUAAUGUUUAAUCCGGUAUGAAAAUAUUGAAAAAAACGAUAUUUCAAUCAUUCCAUAAUAAAAUACAAUGCGCACAUUCAAAGUGAAAGAUGUAUUUACUUGAAUACAUAAUAAUUAAAAUAUGUACAUUAAUUCAAACGAAAAUAAAAUCGCCAUAAUGCGAACGGAAACGUAAUAAAUUUGAAUAGAAAUCCGUCGGAUAUUCAAAUAGAAAAUAUUUCAAAGUCAUGAUUGAUGUUUGUUGACUUCUCGGAAAUGUAAACUAUACAAUGUAUCUCAAUAAUACGACGAAUUACGAGUAAUUACGAAGUAAUAAACGAUUACAAUGUA
Molecule: long non-coding RNA, 3164 nt
Organism: Planococcus citri (citrus mealybug)
Lineage: Eukaryota; Metazoa; Arthropoda; Insecta; Hemiptera; Pseudococcidae
Exons: 5
Source: RefSeq, a predicted model, not a curated record